AAACCGGAGCUAAUACCGGAUAAUAUAUUGAACCGCAUGGUUCAAUGGUGAAAGACGGUUUUGCUGUCACUUAUAGAUGGAUCCGCGCCGCAUUAGCUAGUUGGUAAGGUAACGGCUUACCAAGGCAACGAUGCGUAGCCGACCUGAGAGGGUGAUCGGCCACACUGGAACUGAGACACGGUCCAGACUCCUACGGGAGGCAGCAGGC
Molecule: ribosomal RNA, 208 nt
Filed under: uncultured Staphylococcus sp.
Lineage: Bacteria; Bacillati; Bacillota; Bacilli; Caryophanales; Staphylococcaceae
Description: partial 16S ribosomal RNA
Rfam family: Bacterial small subunit ribosomal RNA
Source: RNAcentral